GAUGAAGAACGCAGCGAAAUGCGAUACUUGGUGUGAAUUGCAGAAUCCCGUGAACCAUCGAGUCUUUGAACGCAAGUUGCGCCCGAAGCCACUAGGCCGAGGGCACGCCUGCCUGGGCGUCACACGCCGUUGCCCCCCCAUCUACUCCUUCGGGAUUGCGGGGGGGCGGAUGAUGGCCUCCCGUGCGCCUAGCCGCGCGGUUGGCAUAAAUACCAAGUCCUCGGCGACGCACGCCACGACAAUCGGUGGUUGCGAAACCUCGGUUGCCCGUCGUGUGCGUUCGUCGCGCAUCGAGGGCUCGAAAAAAUGCUCGGCUCCGGCUCGGCUUUCAACGCGACCCCAGGUCAGGCGGGGUUACCCGCUGAAUUUAAGCAUAUCAAUAAGCGGAGGA
RNAcentral lists this unclassified non-coding RNA (391 nucleotides) under soil metagenome. Its description in RNAcentral is "partial contains 5.8S ribosomal RNA, internal transcribed spacer 2, and large subunit ribosomal RNA". The stretch from base 1 to 122 matches the Rfam family "5.8S ribosomal RNA", at positions 35 to 154 of the family's 154-position model. The record is from RNAcentral.